Molecule: small RNA, 651 nt
Filed under: Pan troglodytes (chimpanzee)
Lineage: Eukaryota; Metazoa; Chordata; Mammalia; Primates; Hominidae
Description: processed transcript
Source: RNAcentral
GAAGCUGGCCAAUGGCAGCCUGGAGCCACCUGCCCAGGCAGCUCCAGGGCCUUCCAAGAGGGACUCGGACUGCAGCAGCCUCUGCACCUCUGAGAGCAUGGACUAUGGUACCAAUCUCUCCGCUGACCUGUCGCUGAACAAAGAGAUGGGCUCUCUGUCCAUCAAGAUAAGCAGAUGAAGGCUCAGAGAAGUGAGGAGCCAGCCCAGGGCCAGGUAGGAGUGGGAAGAUGGACAGACCCCAGGCUCCAAACUCUAAACCUUCCCAGUGGGAGCCAUGGCCUCCUUCUUAGGCAGCUGGAAGGGGCUGACUCCUUUCCUGGCCUCCCUGAUAAAUCCCAGGGUGUUACUAAACUCACCAUGGGUCACCUGACCCUCUACCCAAAGCUCAUUUUAGAGGAAAUACUGUAUGAUUUUGUUUUUCCUUCCCAAAUGUACUUGGUGAAAAACACGCAGUAGAGACUCGAACAUAUUUGCUAAGCAAAGGGGAGUGACAGGAGCCGCAACGGCCAAUCAGCUUUAGGCAGGGAAGGGAAGCACAGUUCCAACAGGCCACCGGGACAAGCAUGCACAGCAGCUGUUACCUGUGAGCAGCGUCUUCCUUAGGACCGGCAUCCUGCCACUUCUCUUCCUGAAGACACUAAGUGAAAAAAA